AGUGGGGAAUAUUGGACAAUGGGCGCAAGCCUGAUCCAGCCAUGCCGCGUGGGUGAAGAAGGCCUUCGGGUUGUAAAGCCCUUUUGUUGGGAAAGAAAACUUUCCGGCUAAUACCCGGAGAGAAUGACGGUACCCAAAGAAUAAGCACCGGCUAACUUCGUGCCAGCAGCCGCGGUAAUACGAAGGGUGCAAGCGUUACUCGGAAUUACUGGGCGUAAAGCGUGCGUAGGUGGUUCGUUAAGUCUGAUGUGAAAGCCCUGGGCUCAACCUGGGAAUUGCAUUGGAUACUGGCGGGCUAGAGUGCGGUAGAGGGUAGUGGAAUUCCUGGUGUAGCAGUGAAAUGCGUAGAGAUCAGGAGGAACAUCCGUGGCGAAGGCGACUGCCUGGACCAGCACUGACACUGAGGCACGAAAGCGUGGGGAGCAAA
RNAcentral lists this ribosomal RNA (427 nucleotides) under Luteimonas composti. Its description in RNAcentral is "bacterial SSU rRNA". It matches the Rfam family "Bacterial small subunit ribosomal RNA", at positions 353 to 772 of the family's 1533-position model. Lineage: Bacteria; Pseudomonadati; Pseudomonadota; Gammaproteobacteria; Lysobacterales; Lysobacteraceae. RNAcentral also lists the same sequence under 1 other name. The record is from RNAcentral.